CCUACGGGAGGCAGCAGUGAGGAAUAUUGGUCAAUGGACGAGAGUCUGAACCAGCCAAGUAGCGUGAAGGAUGACUGCCCUAUGGGUUGUAAACUUCUUUUAUAAAGGAAUAAAAGGAGGCACGGGUGCAUUUUUGCAUGUACCUUAUGAAUAAGCAUCGGCUAACUCCGUGCCAGCAGCCGCGGUAAUACGGAGGAUGCGAGCGUUAUCCGGAUUGAGUGGGUUUAAAGGGAGCGUAGCUGGGUGUUUAAGUCAGUGGUGAAAGUUUGCGGCUCAACCAUAAAAUUGCCAUUGAUACUGGCAGUCUUGCGUACAGUUGAGUUCGGCGGACUUCGUGGUGUAGCGG
This 346-nucleotide ribosomal RNA is filed under the name uncultured bacterium. RNAcentral's name for it is "partial 16S ribosomal RNA". It matches the Rfam family "Bacterial small subunit ribosomal RNA", at positions 338 to 681 of the family's 1533-position model. The record is from RNAcentral.